Long non-coding RNA from Centropristis striata (black sea bass), 912 nucleotides. RefSeq lists it as uncharacterized. The transcript is spliced from 3 exons. The record is from RefSeq and is a predicted model, not a curated record. Lineage: Eukaryota; Metazoa; Chordata; Actinopteri; Perciformes; Serranidae.
UUUUCUGAUGUUUGUGGACUGGUUAUACUGGGACAGAGAGGCUGAGAGGACUGUUUUUUUUAGUUUUUUUUAAUAAAAGCUCGGAGAAUGAACGUGCAGAGGAGUUCAACCUGGGUCAGACUUGGGAGACACAGUGCAUCGGCUCUCCCGUGUUGAAGAAUGCUCUCAGAAUGUGCAUCAUAUCCUCUCCUCAGCCCCGUGUGUUUUCCUCUCGGUCUGGCUCUGUCUGGGCUGCAGCUCAGCGUGCGUAUGGGACUUGAGAUGACAUCACAGCUGCUCACUUGAGAGUUGCCCCCCUUUUUCCCAAAGCAAAACAGGAAAUGAAGUUAUCUCAUACUUCCUGCAGUGCCAUGGUGACAAAUGACUGACAGCAGAUCGUACGUGGUGACUUGGGAUGGACUCUCUUUGGCCAGGAAAGGCCGCAUGUCAAGGCCCUCCAACGGGAAGGAUACGUGGCUGCUAAUCUUGAACGAAUACAUGACCUCGUGCCGGAAGCGUUUCAGGUGAAUGCACAGAAUCUACACCAACAAAAAUAAAUCAAUAAAACCCACAAAUUUACAAAGCCGGCCACAUGUGAAACUCAACUUUGUUAUCUGUAGCAAGAAGUAGAUCAGAUAAUAAAAAAUGUACCUCUGGAAGUCUAAGUACUUUGCAAUAUUUGACACCAUUUCUCAACCUGUAGAAAAGGGAAUAUUGUAUAAAAAAUAUCUAAAUGAAAAAUGCCCUUUUUAAUGUUUUUAAGCAUUAAAAGAGAAGAGAUCCUCCAUAUAACGUCUCCAUUACUCACUUUUUACAUCUCUCACAGCUGUACAUGUUGUCCCCUGUGAAGAGAGUAAAUGUAAAUGUUAAUUCUGACAUUUGUAUCUAAUCUUGACCACUUGAAUAAUAAUAAUUAUAGUAGAAUAGCACAGU